GACAGAGGUGCCGAGCGUUAGGCGGAAUCACUGGGCUUAAAGCGUGUGUAGGCGGGCGGGCAAGUACCUUGUGAAAUCCCACGGCUCAACCGUGGAACGGCUGGGUAUACUGCCUGUCUUGAGCCAACUAGGGGCGAGCGGAACAGACGGUGGAGCGGUGAAAUGCGUAGAUAUCAUUUGGAACGCCAACGGCGAAAGCAGGCAGCUGGGGAUGCACCGACGCUGAGACACGAAAGCCAGGGGAGCGAACGGG
Molecule: ribosomal RNA, 253 nt
Filed under: uncultured bacterium
Lineage: Bacteria
Description: partial 16S ribosomal RNA
Rfam family: Bacterial small subunit ribosomal RNA
Source: RNAcentral